This 3946-nucleotide long non-coding RNA is filed under the name Homo sapiens (human). RNAcentral's name for it is "non-protein coding lnc-RDH10-3:1". The record is from RNAcentral. Lineage: Eukaryota; Metazoa; Chordata; Mammalia; Primates; Hominidae.
AUCUGUUUCCCAAAUCAGAGUUGGUGGACAGAGCAACGACAAUCCAGCUGGAGCGAUGGUUCAGGGUAUGUGUUCACCCAGCCCUUUCGGGACGUCGCGUGCCUGCACUGUGGGAACGCAAGUGGACAGCCGGUCCCUGCCGUGGGCGCUAGGGGCCAGUGCUCAGCGCGGGAAUAUUCCCACCGCCACGUGCGCGCGGACAGCGGGUACUCUGAGGAGGGGCCUGCAGCCCGGCUGGGGCUGGGAAGACUUCCUGGACGAGGGGCAGCCCGGGUUUUCCUCAAGGAUGAGCUGGAGUCGGCCCCCGGCGCAGGAGCAAGGUGCCGGGAGAGGGCCGAGCUGGGUGAGAGGCCUGGGCCAGCCAACAGCGGCCUUCGAGCAGGGACCGCGCAGCUCCGUGUCCCCGCAGUGGGAGGGCGGCGGGCAGGGGCCGGGCGAGUUAGGCCGCAAGCAUCUGCUGGGGCCGUCGCAGCACCAUCCCACAGACCGCCACUGAAUCAACAGCAGCCAGUUCUCCCUGGGCUCUGGAGGCCGGAAGUCCAAGAGCAGGCAUCAGGAUGGGUCCCUCCUUGGCCUGCAGGUGGCGGCCUUCUGGCUGCGUCCUCCCAGGGCCUUCCUUCUGGGCAGCACACCUGGCUGCUCUGUGUCCUGAUCCCCUCUUCUGAGGACACCAGGCAGAUUGGAUUGGGGCCAGAUACCUUCCAAGAGGCAGUCCUGGACAAAGGCAGCAGGAUAUGCCGGGCUGGCAGAGGCAAGGGAUCAGUGGACAACCAAAUGGCCUUCAAACCAACAGAGGAUGGGUAAAUUUGGAUGCAUGGAUUUGGGGGCUUUAUGAAUUUAGACAUUUUAAAAUAUGUAUUAAUAAGUAACAGAAACUUACUUCUUUAGGCACAAUAUUAGAAAUAUUGGAAGUAUAUUAGAAGUUAUUAAACCAACUGGAGAUCUUUUUAGCCAAUGUUUUAAACACAUUUAUGACUAGAGCAAAAACUUACUUUCAAAAUAUUGUGAUAGUUGUAUGUCGACAUAACUUAGGAAAAUUGCACACAUUUUUAUCUUAUGUAGUUUAAAACUAUUCUUCUGUGAAGAGGUGCAUAAGUUUCACCCGAUUGCCAAAGAGUCCAUGGCUCAAAAAAGGUUAAGAAUCCCUGUUUAACCAAAGCCACGGAUGAGAUGAGGUGGAGUCCAAGGAGAGGAAACUAAAGACUCAUUUUACCCUCUAGUAAUAAGACGUUUGGGGGCUAGGACUUCAGAAAAGUUCAACUGCUCUGGAGCAACUGGAAAGUUCAGGGCUUCAAAAUAUAAUACAGGUAAAGAAAAGCAAAGUAUUGGUAUUCUUCUGAUGACAAAUGUUCUUUGAUUUUCAUCAUCCUUCUGAACACAAGUCACAAGUUUGAAAACCUGUAUAAUGCUGAUCAUCUCAAGUACCCUCUGCCUUCAAUCUUGGGUGUGUUUAUUUGAAACCUAACAAUGUGUGCAAAACCAGGAGAAGGCUGGGGAGUGAGGGAUUUUGCCAAAGUCACACAAGUGUGUGUGCUGUUUUUGCUCCAAGCUGAUUAGAUGCUUCUAUUGUUAUGUAUCAAGACAUCUCAGGGUGUGGUUGCCCUAAAGGAGACAGUGAGGCAAGAAGGUGACGGCAUUUGUAGUUACCAGCCACCCUCCUGCUCUUUUAGGAUGUUUGUGUAUACACACCCUAAUGCCAGCACAUGAGGAUGUGGAGACCAGGCCCAGGAGGAAUCCAUCCUCACAAACACUGAAGAACCCAGUUAUCCGUGUGCUGAUCCACACGCUGCCGGCAAAGCCUGUAGCUGGCAGGCAUCAUGCCACAUUUCUCUCCCAAAGCAACCCUAUAAACGUAAUCCUUGAACAGGGCCUUCUCAUUUCCAGCAGCUCUUUCAUAAUUUUGUGCUUUCUACUUUUUGAAAUGUUGUCUUGGCUCAUCCCACUUGAACCUACAGCCGUCAGCUUCUUUAAUAGGGGUGUCUAUAAAGAACUGCCCUAAAAUAUGCUUUUCCAGUGCACUUAAUGUCUUUCCAAUUACAUCCAGAUGUGAAAAGCUGAAGGAACAGUUCUCAGGACUGGACAAGAUGACAUAAAUCUUGCAGCUGACAGAGAUCCCACUGAGCUCAGUUGGGGAAACUCACAGAGAACUUGUUUGGGGCCAGAAAAGCGGCUGGGUAUAAAGACAGAUGUGUACACUCGGAUUCAAAAAAAUAUGUUAAGAGAGAGAAAGCGUUCCUCUAACACAGUGCCUACAAAUACGGCUGAGGCAUGAAGCAGGCUGGGCUACCCACCCCCCGCAACUAGAUCAAAGGAGGUGAUUGAAAAGGCUUUGGAGAGAGCAGACCAACUCAGCGAUGCUUCCUGGUCUCCUUAAUUGCUCUUCUCAGGGUGAGGAAGGUGGGCACUCCUGACAGACCUUGCUGGAGGAGAACAAGGGCUGUUUGUGCAGCUGAGGACUUGGCUUUUAUUUUUUUAAUGAUUAGGUUUUGUACACUUUCCAGAAUGUUCCUUUUAAAAAUAGUAUAUUCUUCCUUCUCUUCUCCAGAUGCUAGGAAGUGCAGGUUCAACCCAAACCGUGUCUAUUUCAAAGGGACACAAAAACCCAGAGCUGGAGUUAAAGGAGCUUGGCGGCAUGCUGCCCAAGGACUGAAGGCUUUGGUUUUCUUUUACCUUCCCAAGUAAUUUUGUUUUUGAAGGUUGGAAAACAAAUUCCACAGAAGGAUCAGCUUCUGCAGGAUACAGCCUGGAGCAAGGCAGAGCAAGGAGCUGGGUGCAGGGCUGAGCCAGGACCAGGGCAGACACGGUCUCUCAGACAGGUGCCGCCCUAGACAGACAGCUCCUGAUGCAUCCAGGGGCUCGCUUUCUAGUAUUUCAGGUUCCCAGGGGAGGAACUGAGGGUUUUCUUUUUUCUCUCAAGAGGCUCCCUCCAAUUAUCCACUGCCUCUUCUCUAACUCUUCUCUCUCUCUCUCCCUAUCAUGACACCCGGCUCUGUGACAGAGGACAGAGGGGCUUCGCUGCACACUUGCUCUGAGGAGGCUCAAAGGGCCCAUUUGCAGCACCUGGUCAGGGCCACUCUUGCAAACCUCGCCUGGGCCCAGCCCACCCAGUGCUGGAGAAGCCCUGUCCUCCUUGGCUGAGACCUUUUGCUUUUCCUGCCAUGCAUCCCACGGAAGGCCUGAUGAUGGUGCAUUUCAUUGACAAUUUUAUGACCCUGGCCAUUUCCCCCUGUAACAAUAUCUUUAAAAUGGCUCCUUGUCUUCAGGUGGGUGAGAGCAGGGCUGUGCUCUUCCCUCUCCUUCCUGUCACUAAACGUCUGUGCCUUAAGCAAUAACACUGAAGUAGUAGAAUGUGAGUUCUGGAUCACAGAACUGCACACAUAACUUUGACCACUUUUGUUUCCAUCCUGAGAUAAAAGCCAAAACGUAUUUUUUAAAUUUAUGUUUUACAUCUUUUAGUUGGGCAUUGCUUUUCUGAGUGAAUUCUAAGUAUUGUAAAGAUGUCUUCAAAGACAGACAACCUCGACUCUAAAGAAAUUAAUGCAAAUUACAGUGUAUCUCAGUGACAUGCUAAUUUAUAGCACCGUAAAGGUACAGUUCAAAGCUCCAACGAGCCAGAAGAAAGUCGGUGGAUUGAUGGUUUGCAGUAAGAAAGGUUUAGAAACAAUAAAAUGUAACUAGGAUUUUAGUUUGGAAAUGAACUAGGGGUCCAUUUGUUCCACGUUACUGAGUUUUUAAUUUAGAUCUGCUGUUAAAACCUAAUGCAUUUUGUAUUUGUGGCUAGUAAAUGACUCUGACUCGGUGUCUUCAAGGAGACAUUGAAAAAGAACAGGAACAAUUCUCAAAGAUAAGACUUGCAGCUGCAGGUUUCUUAACAAAAAAUAUAAUCUCUAGAUCUCACCUCUAAAAUGUGAUUACAAAGCAGAAAAGUAAAAUGAAACAAAGAAAC